RNAcentral lists this unclassified non-coding RNA (329 nucleotides) under soil metagenome. Its description in RNAcentral is "partial contains 5.8S ribosomal RNA, internal transcribed spacer 2, and large subunit ribosomal RNA". The stretch from base 1 to 120 matches the Rfam family "5.8S ribosomal RNA", at positions 35 to 154 of the family's 154-position model. The record is from RNAcentral.
GAUGAAGAACGUAGUGAAAUGCGAUAAGUAAUGUGAAUUGCAGAAUUCAGUGAAUCAUCGAAUCUUUGAACGCACAUUGCGCCCCUUGGUAUUCCGAGGGGCAUGCCUGUUCGAGCGUCAUUAUAACCCCUCAAGCUCAGCUUGGUGUUGGGGCCUGCUGCACUGGCAGCCCUUAAAAUCAGUGGCGGCGCCAUCUGGCUCUAAGCGUAGUAAUUCUUCUCGCUAUGGAGUCCUGGUGGAUGCUUGCCAUCAACCCCCAAUUUUUCUAUGGUUGACCUCGGAUCAGGUAGGGAUACCCGCUGAACUUAAGCAUGUCAAUAAGCGGAGGA